Canis lupus familiaris (dog) is the source of this 83-nucleotide non-coding RNA. Lineage: Eukaryota; Metazoa; Chordata; Mammalia; Carnivora; Canidae. The record is from Rfam.
GCCUGGGUGGUUCAGUGGUUGAGCAUCUGACUUCAGCUCAGGGUGUGAUCCUGGGGUCCUGGGAUCGAGUCCUGCACCAGGCU